UGGGGAAUAUUGGGCAAUGGGCGAAAGCCUGACCCAGCAACGCCGCGUGAAGGAAGAAGGUUUUCGGAUUGUAAACUUCUGUCCUCAGGGAAGAAGGACGUGACGGUACCUGAGGAGGAAGCCCCGGCUAACUACGUGCCAGCAGCCGCGGUAAUACGUAGGGGGCGAGCGUUGUCCGGAAUGACUGGGCGUAAAGGGCGCGUAGACGGCUGUCUAAGUCUGGAGUGAAAGUCCUGUUUUCAAGAUGGGAAUUGCUUUGGAGACUGGAUGGCUUGAGUGCGGAAGAGGUAAGUGGAAUUCCCAGUGUAGCGGUGAAAUGCGUAGAGAUUGGGAGGAACACCAGUGGCGAAGGCGACUUACUGGGCCGUAACUGACGUUGAAGCGCGAAAGCGUGGGGAGCGAACA
This 405-nucleotide ribosomal RNA is filed under the name uncultured prokaryote. Its description in RNAcentral is "bacterial SSU rRNA". It matches the Rfam family "Bacterial small subunit ribosomal RNA", at positions 355 to 774 of the family's 1533-position model. The record is from RNAcentral.